GGAAUCUUCGGCAAUGGACGAAAGUCUGACCGAGCAACGCUGCGUGAGUGAAGAAGGUUUUCGGAUCGUAAAACUCUGUUGGUAGAGAAGAACGUUGGUGAGAGUGGAAAGCUCAUCAAGUGACGGUAACUACCCAGAAAGGGACGGCUAACUACGUGCCAG
Molecule: ribosomal RNA, 162 nt
Filed under: uncultured bacterium
Lineage: Bacteria
Description: partial 16S ribosomal RNA
Rfam family: Bacterial small subunit ribosomal RNA
Source: RNAcentral